AUACGGAGGGUGCGAGCGUUAUCCGGAUUUAUUAGGUUUAAAGGGUGUGUAGGCGGGAGCCUAAGUCAGUGGUGAAAUCUUACAGCUUAACUGUGAAACUGCCAUUGAAACUGGGUUUCUUGAGUAUAGUUGAGGUAGGCGGAAUGUGUAAUGUAGCGGUGAAAUGCAUAGAUAUUACACAGAACACCGAUUGCGAAGGCAGCUUACUAAGCUAUUACUGACGCUGAUGCACGAAAGCGUGGGUAGCGAACAGGAUUAGAAACCCCAGUAGUCC
This 274-nucleotide ribosomal RNA is filed under the name uncultured bacterium. Its description in RNAcentral is "partial 16S ribosomal RNA". It matches the Rfam family "Bacterial small subunit ribosomal RNA", at positions 523 to 796 of the family's 1533-position model. The record is from RNAcentral.